Helianthus annuus (common sunflower) is the source of this 761-nucleotide long non-coding RNA. RefSeq lists it as uncharacterized. The record is from RefSeq and is a predicted model, not a curated record. Lineage: Eukaryota; Viridiplantae; Streptophyta; Magnoliopsida; Asterales; Asteraceae. The transcript has 3 exons.
UAACGCCCCAAAAAUGAAAACUCAAUAAAACAAGUGAGGAUAAAUAACUGUAAUGCCCCAAAAUCUAAUAGUUGAUAAAUAAGGCAUUUACUAGAAUUAUGUGUGAAAUAACUUAACUAGGAUUAGUUAACCUAGUUUGUUUUUCUAUGUUAGUUACAAGAAGGAAAUAAAUAAAUUAUCAAAACUACAAGGGUUGAACUUGUACAUUUUAAUUAAAGUUUGGUUAAGUAGUGGAAGAUCACAAACAUCAGACAUAAGUCUGAUGUUGGUGUCGAUGCAAGCCAAGGGCCAAGAAGGGUUUCUCAUGAUGAUGAAAUGUUGAAGAAUUGAAGCAAAAUCCAGCCUUAAUUCUCUUGCAUGUGUAGAGAUUCUACAUCAAAAAGCUAUAUGAAACAUGUGUAUAGGGAUCAUGUCGAGAUGGAUGGAAGCAUAAAGGGCUAAUGGGUCAUGAGGACAUGAGGAAACGAGAGCGAAUAUGGAUGCAUAAGGUUUAUGAAUGUCGGACUUUCGAAGUGUUGAUAUAGUAAUGAAAUGAUUGAGUGUUGGAAGGAUAAUCGGGUUGAAGUAACUUAAGCGGUUAGAAUAUGCUAUGGACGUUUUAGUUUAUACAAUAUUUUAUGUUUGGUCGUCACCACCUACUAACGGGUUAGUUGUAUGAGAAUAUAUGUCAUACCCAUUUAAUUGGGUAAUCGAAUGCGUAAGAGAAAUGAGAGUACGUACAUGAAUGGAAUUAAAAUGACGGUUUUAUAAGCGAACAAGUA